RNAcentral lists this unclassified non-coding RNA (217 nucleotides) under Hevea brasiliensis (rubber tree). Lineage: Eukaryota; Viridiplantae; Streptophyta; Magnoliopsida; Malpighiales; Euphorbiaceae. The record is from RNAcentral.
GUUUUUUGACAUGUCAACAUUUUGUGUCUAAUAGGAAUGACUUUUGAACAAAUAGGGUAUUCAAUAGGAACAAAGAUAAGUUGAGGUGUUCAAAUGAAAUAUGCGGACAAUUUCAAAGGGCCGCAUAUGACUUAAACCUAAUAUAUGUGUUGCUCUGGUUAACAUAUCCCCAUGUCCUUAAAUCUAGUAUCCCGAUAUAUCCAGUGUAAUUCCCCAA